GACGAACGCUGGCGGCGUGCCUAAUACAUGCAAGUCGAGCGAAGUUUUUCUGGUGCUUGCACUAGAAAAACUUAGCGGCGGACGGGUGAGUAACACGUAAAGAACCUGCCUCAUAGACUGGGACAACUAUUGGAAACGAUAGCUAAUACCGGAUAACAGUAUUUCUCGCAUGAGAGAUAUUUAAAAGUUGGUUAUGCUAACACUAUGAGAUGGCUUUGCGGUGCAUUAGCUAGUUGGUGGGGUAAAGGCCCACCAAGGCGACGAUGCAUAGCCGACCUGAGAGGGUGAUCGGCCACACCGGGACUGAGACACGGCCCAGACUCCUACGGGAGGCAGCAGUAGGGAAUCUUCCGCAAUGGGCGAAAGCCUGACGGAGCAACGCCGCGUGAGUGAAGAAGGAUUUCGGUUCGUAAAGCUCUGUUGUUAGGGAAGAAUGGAUAUGUAGUAACUAUACAUGUAAGAGACGGUACCUAACCAGAAAGCCACGGCUAACUACGUG
This 499-nucleotide ribosomal RNA is filed under the name uncultured bacterium. RNAcentral describes it as "partial 16S ribosomal RNA". It matches the Rfam family "Bacterial small subunit ribosomal RNA", at positions 28 to 507 of the family's 1533-position model. The record is from RNAcentral.